CGCGGGGCUGUCGUCGUCGCGGAGGGAGACUGCGGCGCCGAGCCGGGCGCUGCCCACUUCGCUGCGACUUUCCAGCGCUUCCCUGCCCGGCUGUGCGGCGAGGAGACGGCUCGGAGCUGGAAUCCCUCACGUAACCGGGAAAAAUGAAGGCAGCAGAUGAGCCUGCCUACCUGACAGUGGGAACGGAUGUCAGUGCCAAGUACCGUGGUGCCUUCUGCGAGGCAAAGAUUAAGACAGUGAAAAGGCUUGUGAAAGUCAAGGUGGUCCUGAAGGGGGAUAACUCAACUCAAUUAGUUCAAGAUGAUCAAGUGAAAGGACCUCUAAGAGUUGGUGCCAUGGUUGAAACCAAAAUGCCUGAUGGAUCCUUUCAAGAAGCUGUUAUCAGCAAGUUAACAGAUGCUAGCUGGUAUACUGUAGUUUUCGAUGAUGGUGACGAAAGGACCUUGAGACGAACUUCGUUAUGCUUGAAGGGAGAAAGGCACUUUGCAGAAAGUGAGACACUCGAUCAAUUGCCACUAACCAACCCAGAGCACUUUGGAACUCCAGUUAUUGGGAAGAAAUCUAAUAGAGGAAGGAGAUCUUCUCUUCCUGUAACUGAAGAUGAAAAGGAAGAAGAAAGUAGUGAAGAAGAGGAUGAAGAUAAAAGGCGUCUCAAUGAUGAACUGCUUGGCAAAGUUGUGAGUGUGACCUGUAAUUCUGAGAAGGCAGACUGGUAUCCAGCUUUGGUUGUUUCUCCCAGCUGUAAUGAUGACGUCACAGUGAAAAAGGACCAGUGUUUAGUCCGAUCCUUUGCAGAUUCCAAAUUUUACUCAGUAGCAAGAAAAGACAUUAAAGAAGUAGAUGCUCUAAACUUACCAAAAUCGGAGUCCUCGCCUAAAAAAGGGCUUCAGGAAGCAAACACGUUUCUCAGCACAAAGGUGGUUCCUCGGAACUGGAAGAUGGACAUAAGUGAAAUUAUGGAAUCCUCUAGCAGUGAUGAGGAAGAUGGAGCUGCUGCAGAAACUGAUGAAGAGGAAAUAAAAAGAGAAGAGAAAAAUGAAGAAGUGCUGCCCGAGGAAGAGCUUGAUCCUGAAGAGAGGGACAACUUCCUCCAACAGCUCUAUAAGUUUAUGGAAGACAGAGGUACUCCUAUCAAUAAACCACCUGUUCUGGGCUACAAGGACCUUAAUCUCUUCAAACUGUUUAGACUGGUAUAUCAGCAGGGUGGGUGUGACAAUAUUGAGAGCGGUGCUGUUUGGAAGCAAAUUUAUAUGGACCUUGGCAUUCCUAUUUUGAACUCGGCUGCUUCUUACAAUGUAAAAACUGCUUACAGAAAGUAUCUUUAUGGUUUUGAAGAGUACUGCCGUUCUGCAAACAUUCAGUUUAGGACCAUUCAUCACAAUGAACCAAAAGUGGUAGAAGACGUACAGAAACACGAGGAACCAAUGGAGGAGAGUGUGAAAGAGGAGCAAAAAAUGCCUCCAACAGAAGCAAAAAAGGAAGCAGAAGAAAAUUAUUCCAGCAGCGAGAGCGAAAAAGAAGAAAUAGAGCUAAGAUCCCCAAGGGGACGAAGACGGCUUGCCCGUGACACAAACCCUGCUAAAAAAGAGAGUGAAGAUGAUAAAACACAAGACAAAUUAAAAGACAACAACAAGGAAAACAAAGAUAUAGAGGAAGCCCUCGAGAAUGCAGAAAAGAAAGAAAAUGAAACUCUACUAGGAAGAAAAAGUACGCCAAAGCAAAAAGAGAAAAAGAUUAAAAAACAGGAGGACUCUGAUAAAGAGUCAGAUGAAGAUGAGGAGAGGCAGAGGGAGAGGGAGGAGAUUGAGAACAAAGGAGAAUCAGAAGGUGAAGAGGAUGAAGAGGAUACAGAACCUUGCCUGACUGGAACCAAAGUGAAAGUAAAAUAUGGACGUGGAAAGACACAGAAAAUUUAUGAAGCCAGCAUUAAAAGCACUGAGACUGAUGAUGGAGAGGUUUUAUAUUUAGUGCAUUACUAUGGUUGGAAUGUAAGGUAUGAUGAAUGGGUGAAAGCUGAUCGCAUUAUUUGGCCUGUGGACAAAGGAGGACCAAAGAGAAAACAGAAGAAAAAAACAAAAAAUAAAGAAGACAGUGAAAAGGAUGAGAAGAAAGAUGAGGAGAAACAAAAAUCGAAGCGUGGGCGACCUCCUCUGAAAUCUACUCUUCCAUCAAACACAUCUUUAUCCAAAACACCGAAUAGUGAAGGUAAAUCAGGAGCCAGAAGUGCACGGAACAACUUGUCAGAUUCCUCACCUUUGCCAAAUGGAACAGAAGCAACACCUCGCAGGCAGACAAGACGUAGCUCAGGAAUGUUUGAUUCUGAUAGAGGAUCAAACGACUCUGCUUCGUCUGACAGUGAGGCAGAUGAAUCAUCUGAGAAGAACAUGAAUGAGGAGUUUUCUCCAGAAACUUCAGAACUGGAAAAGAAUGAAAAACAAAAUGAUGAGAAGCUAGACGAGGAAAGCCCAAAGAUUCCUCACGCACUGAGAGAAAAUGACAGGACUCAAGUGCAGCCAUUAGAAAUCCUGAAACUGGAAGUUGAAGAAAGUGAACAAAUAGUGCAGAUUUUUGGGAAUAAAACAGAGCAAACGGAAGAAGUCAAGAGGGAAGCUGAAAAAUCACCUAAAGGAAAAGGGAGAAGGAGCAAGACAAAAGAUGUCUGCUUAGAGAAUGCAAAGGUUUCUCCAGGAAGUCAAGAAGAGGUGGCUAAUGAGUCUCUUACAGAAAAUGAAAGAUUAGACUUGUCUUCCUUGGACUGCAAAGAGUUUUCCAGCACUACUGAAACUGAAACAGAGCCUUCCACAAAAGAUAAGAAGCUUUUGAAAAGGAAGAUUUUGGAGCAGGCUUCACCUGAGAAAAGAACUCGACGAGAGAGUGAGAUGGAAGUCCCAAAUAUUGUAUCUGAAGAGAGGACCAAUGAAUGUACUGGGGCAGAGGAAUGUAGAGGGCUGAAUGCUGAAGGGUCACUCAGAACUGAAAAUGAAGAAAUGCCAUCCCUCGUGGCAGAGUCUGUGCAGCAUGGGGAAGAGCUGAGGAGCGAGAACUUUCAGCGUCCGUCUGAAGAGAAUGAUAACGUUCCCUUGAAAGAUGAGGAUGACACAAUGCCUCACAUUGGUCCCGAAACUUUGCUGUGUCAUGAAGUGGACUUGGAUGACUUGGACGAAAAGGAGAAGAGCAGUAGUGAAGAUACGAUAUCGGAAAAGCCAGAUCCCAAUACUUCAAAUCCAGCUGCCUUACCUGCUGCUGUCCAGUCGAGCUUCUCAGUGGCCUCACCUCUGACACUUAGUCAAGACGAGUCCCGCAGCAUCAAGAGCGAAAGUGACAUGACUAUUGAAGUGGACAGUGUGGCAGAAGAAUCUCAAGAAGGGCUCUGUGAGAGUGAGUCUGCUAAUGGAUUUGAAGCCAGCACUACGUCCAGCAAUUGUAGCAUAGUGGUGCCAGAAAGAGACGUUGGAGAGAAGGGUCAAAAAAGGCCCAGUGAUAGCAAUAGUGGAACGCUGGCAAAAAAACAAAAGCGUACUCCAAAGCGAACAAGUGCUGCAGCCAAAAAUGAAAAGAAUGGAACAGGACAAAGCAGUGAUAGUGAAGACCUCCCUGUCCUGGACAGUUCCAGUAAAUGUACUCCUGUAAAACACUUAAACUCAUCAAAACCACAGAAGAUUUCUCGAUCACCUGCAAGAGUGAUUUCACCUCACAUCAAAGAUGGAGAAAAGGACAAACACAGAGAGAAACACCACCACCAGAAUUCUUCACCUAGAGUAUACAAGUGGAGUUUUCAGCUCAAUGAACUGGACAACAUGAGCAGCACUGAAAGGAUCUCCUUCUUACAAGAAAAGCUACAGGAAAUCCGAAAGUACUACAUGUCUCUGAAGUCAGAAGUGGCCACCAUAGACAGGAGAAGAAAGCGGUUAAAAAAGAAAGACAGAGAAGUGUCUCAUGCAGGGGCAUCCAUGUCAUCUGCUUCAUCAGACACUGGAAUGAGUCCAUCGUCGUCCUCCCCUCCACAAAACGUGCUUGCUGUAGAAUGCAGGUGAUACACGUUGCUCUGCCUUGCCAGCAGCUUGCUGCCAUGGACUUCAAUCCUGACAUUCAGCCACAGAAAGCACUCGACUGGUUUGACAUUGCCAAGUAUAUCCUGUACACACUUCCACUGCUGGACUGUAUCUGUUCUCCCCUCCUUCCCUCUCUUUUGUUGUUGUUGUUUUGUUCUGUUUUUAAGUUACCGUUUGGAGAAAUUAAGCUCAUUGAAGGUCGGUAGGCACAACGUGACAUGCUUGUCAUCGUGUUUGUUUCUGUUUUGUUUUUGUUAAUGCAGAGCAAGGGCACUUAUCAAAUUUGAAAAGUUAUGUCCAAUGAAGCAUUCAGGUGUUCUCGGGUAACCUUAGAGAAGCAAGUGCACCAGGUAGAGACAUCAGAGUAUUAUCCAAAUGAACUGAGUAACUGCUGCACUUUCACCGAGCCGUGGUAACUCGGUGAGUAGUUCCUCUUUGUGGAAGCACUUGCUAUACAGAACUGCCAAAGUACGUGUUCAGCAAUGUGCCCAGUUUUAAAGGUGUAAAUGGGACAAAAUAAAUUGUGAAAGGAAGUGUAGUUGACUGAAAACUACAGUUGUAAUAAGUCUUCCACUUUUUAUAGGAUUUUUGAGCACACAAUUAUGCAAAUAUUUUAAUGUUUAUUAAUGUUUACAGUGGAAUUGUGAAUAGGUUUUCAGUGGACUAUCUUAUCCCUUGACAAAAAUAUUUUGUCUUUUUUCUAUGUAAUUUCAGAGUUUUUAUUUUGUUACAAAAAGACGAAAAAUGAAUAUAUAACAACAAUGAAGUUAUUUAACAAGAUUUCUAAAGCUGAAAUUUUUGUGUAAAAUAAGGUAUCUUGCAACUUGUUAAAUAUAUUUAUUCAGACAUUGGAUGUUGUAUUUUUAUGUAUUUUUUAAAAUAUUAAUAAAAUUGGAAAAAAAAAAAAGAAAAAAAAAAAAAAAGCAAGCAACCAAACUAAGGUUAGUUCACUCUUUCGAUAAAACACAGCUGUCAGUUCUGGCUCUCACAGGAGGAUUUACCCGUGCCUGCAUUGAAAUGGGUCCGGCUCUGUGUCCUCCACCACGCAGAUCUGGAAGCGGGCAUCUGGAUUCGACUCUGACUUUGGUUGGAAAACUUUGGCAGUCCUACUCACCUUGUUUGGAGGAACAGAAUCUGUUGGGUUGCCCUUAAGAUACUUUGUCGCGAGUUCUUAUGUUUGCUAUGCUGCCGAAUGAAUUUCUAUCUCCCAAAGUUGAGAUGCAACCAUAAGGAAUGUUUACCUGCUCACAUCAGCCCAGAGCUCCUCAGAGCCCUGAAUUCUGUGACUGUCCCAGCAGAGAGCUGCACAGCCAGGAGAGGUGGAUGACUUUCUGCCAAGCCUGGAGCACGUCACUGCCUUCCUGCUUCUGUCUCUGGCAAGAAGGACAGCAGGUAGCUGAGAUUAUUCAGUGGAUGUUUCAAGGAAUAUUUUUAAAUGCCUGUAGAAACUGUAGUGAAAAGAGCAUUAUAUAAUGUGGAACUGCGCUGCUCUAAAAUUGAAAUCGACAAAAAUCUCUCCAAGGUCUUUUAUUUCUAACUUCACAAUCCCCUCAUUUCUGUGUUGUUGCCAUAAAGCAAACUCCAGAGUGCCUUUUCAGUGCCUUCAAUUAUGAAUGUAUUGAAUUGGGAUUUUUUUUAUUUUUGUUUUAAGAGACGUUUGCAGGAGCAAUGAAAACCAAAGCACCCUCUUGGCAGACCUCCCUGUUCUCCUGCCUCCUGAUCUCCAGGUUGUGUCAAGAUGAGAAGCACGACUUCCAGCUUAGUUGGCAGGUGAAAUAAAUUGCAGAGGAUGAUGGAAUCAAAUACUCUUAGAACUGUUAGAAAGAGCUGGGCUCUAGGAAAAUUCAGACCCUCCCCUGCCACCUACUGUUGAUAAGAAAGCUGGCAGAUUACUUCAGGUUGUGUAUUAGCAGCUAAUCUGAACACUAGAAAGCAACAUAAAACUUGCAUGCAAGGACAGACAGUAAGAAAAUGUUUGUAUCCUUACUUCUUUUAACUUAGAGUUGCUUUUCGUGAACGUGUGUAUCAGCUCUGUGUGUACUGAUGACUUUUUGUUUUUUCUAAGGUGUAAAUUAAGCAACACAUGGUUUAAUCUGCUCAUUUCUGAUUCCUCCUCGCAUCUGAGAAACCUCUUAAUCAGUGCUUCUGUCUUUCAGAGAUGUUGGGACAAUAAUAAAGCAUUAUUUCAACAGAAUUUAAAUAGGAUUACAGUAAUAAUUAAAAGCACAACAAGAGCAGGUAAGUUGCAUCUUCCUGAAGCACUGUGUUUGACUUUCACAGGGAGCAGCACAGACCUUAAAGCUAUGAGAUGGUAGAGAGGAAAAAGUGCAAUCAGUUCUUCACUGUGUGGUAUUCUGUGCAAGCUGCUCUCAGAUUGUAAAUUAAUUUUGAUACACAGUGACAGAUGAAUCCAGGCAGCAAUUUUUGAAGCAGGUUCAUCUGUGGGAAUGGCUACUAGAAUUGCACACGAUGGGUUUGGUGGGGAGGGAAGAAGGAUCCGUGGAUUCUGAGCUCACAUCUCUGCUCAGUGCUGAGGGCACCUGCUUUCUGCAAAUGGCUUUGUCAGCCAGAUGGAAUUUCACCCUGACAAGUCGGUGUCAAAUCCUUCCAAUAAAAUGUUCUUUUCCCCGUUAAAAAAAUGUUCUCUGCUUGUCUGAGGUGGUCAAAUGGGUUUCUGAGCAGCAUUUACUGGAAUUCUUUUACAGCAGAAAGUCUCAGAAAAGUGGUUCUGCUCUUCUUAAGAGCGUGUUUGGUUUGAUCACUUGAAACAAAGCUGACAGGUGAGCUGGAAGAGUGAUUUACAAGCUGCAACAAAAAGAGGACUGUUAACAGAGGUAUGUUGAGCUGUUUAUUUCGCAGUGCCCUUUGCAUUUUGCAGAUACUGUGCACUGAAACCUCAGUUAUUUUUAGGUCUCUGUACUUGGAUUUUAUUGUUUGCUGCAGUUUGCAGGAUAAAGGCUACCUCUGGAGAUGGAAGGAACAUGGCAGAGCAGCAGAACCCAUGGGGUGCUGCCAGAGCCUGACUGUAACAUCAGGGCUUAGAAAAAAAGGCUUUUUAUAAUUAGCUCACACUUAGCAAGCUAUCACCCUCAGAUUUUGAGCAAUUCUGUCAUUCUGCCAUGUUCUCUUCCUCCAGGUAGGAUGGUUUGUGAACACGUCCCCGGAGAGUUUAAAAUCGUUCACCUUCAUUAGUGACUACCUGAUGACCAUUAUUUAUUAGUGCUUGCUUGGUUUGGGUUUGGGUUGGUGUUUCUGGAGGAGAAGGGGGGAAUCCAUGAGUUCCACAAGGAUUUACUGUUCUCAUCCAUUGCUCUGGAGGAAUAUAUAAACUCAGUUUUUCUUUUUCAAAUGCAACUGGUCUCAAAAUGUACCUACUGUAAUGCGCUUUGGUGGUGGAUUUUCUGAGUAGUCACAGCCUGAUGAUGAAUUUUGCCAUUUAAAGAAAACAGAGAAGGUAGGACACUCUCAGCCAUGCAGCAGUUAACCAAGGCUCACCCUUUCUGGCUUCAUUACCUUCCCCGUUCUGCACUCUCAGCAGAUGUGUGCAGUUACUCCUGCUGUUUCCCCACGUUUCGGAGCAGGGCUGUGCUGGCUGGUGCUGCUGUAGGUCUGCAGCUCCCCGUGGUUUGUAUUGUCUGUUGGCUUGUACUGACAGCUUUCAAAGGUGAAAAUAUGUCUGUCUCAGUUUUAUGGCAUUUGGCUUUCAUUUAGCAUUACAGCUCACUAUGACAACACAGGAGCGUUGUGAACCUUCCUUACUUCCUCUGCAAAACAUAGUUUGCCAGCAUAGAGAAUCAGCACUAGAGGCCCAUUGCAGCUGUGCAAGCCUGCAGGACAUUUAGCUGCAGUGCAUUUGCUUGUAUUGAGCCAUGCUCUGGACAGUUAUUACAUGGUGUUGGCUCUAUCUCUCUAUUUCCCAGGUUUUCAGUCACCCAGCAGUAUUUCCAUGCAGCCCCAUCAGUUUCUUCAGCUAUUUCUAAACCACUUCGUUGCUAAUCCCUCAUCUGGGUACAGCUUGACCCAAUUUGCCACCAUCCUGCCAGCUCUGCUGAUUAUGUAAGGAGGAGCAAGAGAAGGCAUUUAUAUGAAAUACAUUGCUUGCGUUGUGCAAGGGUGACUUAUCCUUUUUAACAAGCCACUUGUUCACGUGUGCACAGUCUUACAGCCAUUGUUCAUCACACUGCUCACUCUUUAACCCUUUCCCUUUUCACUUUAUCACCAGGUGGCUGUGCUUCAUCCCAGCUCCUCCUGCUGCCUGCUCCGCCCUGAAGUGUAACUGGCACCACCCCACGUCUCCUGAAGACAAGAAAAAGCUAACACAGCUAUUGGGUAAUGAAAUAGCAGCAAGUUGUCAUUCUGCUGUACUAGCAAUCUGACUGUGGGAUCUCAGCUAUCAAGAUCCUUUCAAAAGAAGCAGUGUUUAUUCCUGAGCCAACAGCACAUAAUCAGAACGGUUUUCUCAGACUUUGCUCUGCACUCAGUCAGCAGCAAAUAAAAAGGCAUCGCCUUGUACGCAUGUAUUCACACUGAACUGUGUGAAUGCCAACAGAAAGGAGGAGCCUGCCAGCAAGCUCAGUGCUUGGAGCACAUCGUGCUUACAGCCAGCAGCAAAGCCAGUUUUGGAGGACCACUGGGUCCCCCAGAGGGAAACAAGGAGCGUAGAGUCAUUGCCUCUGGCAAAGGUGCUGCUAUGACACGUUAUUGUCACUUGUGAAUGACCUGGUGAAGCAUAAAGCCAGCAUAACCUAGGGAUAAGCUGGCAGGCAACCCUGCUUACCUGAACUCAUUAGUUACAGCCAAUGACUGCUGCUUACAGUAGCUCUUAGCUUGAUGCUCUAACAGGCUGCAGUCAGCACUCCAGGACACUCAGAAUGAUCUUAAGGCUCUAAGAGAGCAGCUGGCAACGAAACAAAAGUUCUUCCCAAGUUGAGAUAUGUAAAACGUUUGCAAAUCCCUACCUGCUAAAACCAAUCCAUUAAUUAGUUAUCUACCAAGCAGCAAAGAAUGAACAAGAGUCCAUAGGAGGAUGAUGAGGAAUGAAACUGCAACCAAAACAUGGCUCUCAAACAGCGUCCCAAAUGAUCUUUGGAAAAAACAUACAUACAACUGUAUGGUUCCAUUUACUUUACUUGAAUUAAAUUAAAAAAAAUGUAUUUCCAUAUUACACUUCUUUUGCCUCUGAAUCAGUCCUGACAGAAGAAAAAGUAUAACUUUCCCAUCCUCUUGAAAUUUAAACAUAGUAGUCUGUGGGCCCUGAAGAAAAAAUUGCUUUAUUCCACUGUAGAAUGGAAAAGACCUCAGCAAGAGACUCUGCUGUCAGACAGCACUCUCUAACUCUUUGCGUUACCCUCCACGGCUUCCAGUUUCCAAACACACCUACAGCAAUCUCUGGAGUUGCUGGACAUGCACCCUGACAGUAGGAAAUCCAAAACGUGUUCUUGCCCAGUGAACACUGGCACUGCUCGUGAAGUCUGAACAGAGCGCUCUUGUCUAACGAGGUUGGCUGAGCAGUCCUGCUUUCGCUGCCAGAGCUUCGUUCUGCUGAAUGUGAUACUCCUGAAAUCUCAUGGAGAUCCUCUGUGUCAUUUUCAAAUACUUCUGUAGGCAGUGUUCUGAGCAAGUUAUCUGGAGGAAGAGGAAAACAGCUUCAGAGAGUGAUGAAGACGCCCUCCUCAGCAGAAUCCCAAGUGAAAUAGUCAGGCCUUCAUGAAAAACAUCUUGGAGCCAGGAGAUGUUAACACUUCAUCCUUGGACUGCUCUUGUGAAGUGGAAGUACACAAAGGAUUUUAUUUUGCAGUAAGUACUAAACCUGAGAAAGGUUGUUUUUGUGUUGUUUCCCUCCUCUCUUUCUGAAUCCUGGUUUGCAAACACUAAUUUUUGACAGCCAGAUCUGCUCUACCUGUGUGGUAGCUCAGGUUAAGCUCUUUUUUUGACCUUGUUCCUAUUAGCUCUAGCAGCCUGGUUCACCUUCACAGGACAGCCCCUGAAGUGCUACCAGACAGCUUGCUGGAUAGGGGACAAACACCAGGGCCUGUUCCACAGCUGCUGUCAUGUUUUCAAGUGAGGGCAUUUUAUUUUUUCUUUCAAUAAUUGUAGAGAAAAAGCCAUGGGAUCUAUUUCUGAGUUACAGUUCUACCAGUCAGAUAUUCAGUUCCAAACCUUACAAUCACUGUAGAAGUCAUCACACUUAAAUACAAAAGAUGAGCACCUUGCAUGAGUACCAGAAAACCAGAAAUUGCUUUAAUGCUGCUCAGUGUAAAGGGAUGUGGAAAGCAGAGAUGAUGGAAGAAAAAAAGAUAACCUGCAACUGUACAUCCUCUCCAUUCUACUUUCUCUCUCCCUGACCUGGCAUCAGUUACAGUAAAACCUGUUCAGCAGGAGUUAAGUCUGACUAGGAAACAAAUGCUGUUGGAUUCUAGAAGCACCCCAAGCCACAUCUCCCAGAGGGUGUGGUGUCUGUGAUGCCCUGCCUGGGGAAGCCUAGACUUGUAGUGAAGAGUGCAGUAUGGAAUGAGGGCAGCAGCUGCUUUUACAAAUGCAGAAUCUCCAAGAUCCACAAAGGCAUUUAUCUUCAUUCUUAAGGAAGUACGACUUUAAAUAGGAAAUUAGGAUCAGAGCAGACCAGUCAUCCACUCAGACCAGUAUUCCAUAUCCACGAGGGCCACAGCCAGAUGCUUUGCAAGAAAAGCAUCCUGCGUAGCUCGAGCAGCUAAAAUGAGCUGGUGAAAGACAAUGGCAAAACCUUAUCCAGAGUAAUUCUGACACCUGCAAUCGAGAACGUUGCCAACAAAGCAAAUGCAGAGAAUUAUCAUGGGAACAAAGGAUCUGUCUUGGGAAGCCAGGAGAGCUUGGUUUAGCGCAGCAAAACAAAAGCUGAACGGAGAGAUGAUUUCUGCCUGCACUGAGGGACAGCUGUUAAACUCUAAGGAGGCAGCAAAUGCUCAAACACAAUGCAGGUUUAAAUGUUUGUGUGUGGUUUAGGUGGUUUUUGGGUGUUUUUUUUUUCCUGGUAGCUGGAAAGCUGGAGUUAAGCAAAGCUAUUAGACUUUUACCCAAUUAUAUUAAUUACACCAGUCUGAAGCCUCCCAGCAAGUGACGAAAGGCCAAGGACAACAUGCAACUCAUGUGAGCCAGAGCCUUUUCUUUUGGCAGAUGGGUAUGUGAUGGAGCUCCCUGCACUGCAGGCAACUGGACUGAGCAGCCAGAGCUGUGGGGGCAAUAGAUUUCCACCAGCACACCUCCCUGCUCACUGCAUGCCAGAACACUUCCACUCCUCCAAAGACAGCUGAUGAGCUUUUCAGCUAACUGAAAGAUCCAAACUGUCCAAAUCGCUGCUGAAAUUUGAGUAUUAAACAGAAAUUCUGCCUAAAGGUAAUUAAAAGCAUAGGAAACAUUUACAUACCUCUUCUGGCUUAACUUCUCUGGUGGUGAAAUCCCUUAUACAAUCCAUGAAGCAAUUUUCUGUGAUUUUAUUAUAUGUUCCCAGGAACUCCUUGAACUGCAUUAAAAAUUGAAAACACCAUUAAAAAAUA
RNA transcript from Centrocercus urophasianus (Greater sage-grouse), 11584 nucleotides. It is a transcript of the gene named AT-rich interaction domain 4A, with no coding region annotated. Lineage: Eukaryota; Metazoa; Chordata; Aves; Galliformes; Phasianidae. The record is from RefSeq and is a predicted model, not a curated record. The transcript is spliced from 28 exons.